UUGAAAAGAACUUUGAAGAGAGAGUUCAAGAGUACGUGAAACCGUUCAGGGGUAAACCUAAGAAACCCAAAAGAUCGAACGGGGAGAUUCAUCGUCAGCGACGCUGGCUUCGCGUCGGUGGGCGAUGUCCCGCGGGGCCUCGCGGCUCGCGCGCGGACACGCUGCCGUGCGUCGAUGUCCGGCGUUCGUCGUCGUGCACUUCUCCCCUAGUAGAACGUCGCGACCCGCUGGGUGUCGGUCUACGGUCCGGGUGCGGUGACUGACGCGCCGCCGGUAAAACGGCGCGCGUCAAACCCCCGGUCGCCCGGCCGGCUGCCCGGCGGUACACGCAAGGUAUCAGGCCGCAGCUCUCACACACCCCGUGUGUGUGACGAGUGUGCGUCGAGGCCGUCGCAAGCGCGCGCCACGGUACACGGAGGCUAACGGACCUAGUGCCGUCACCGGUCCUGGCCCGCUGUUGGUCGCACGGUUAACCUUCGACAGGCCUGCUAACGUCCCCCGGGGUUUACCCAAUGGGGGGACCGAUACCGGUCGGCGACGCUACUGCUUUGGGUACUCUUAGGACCCGUCUUGAAACACGGACCAAGGAGUCUAACAUGUACGCGAGUCAUUGGGACUAGCGACACCUAAAGGCGUAAUGAAAGUGAAGGUCGGCCCUGGUUGUCGACCGAGGGAGGAUGGGCCGCGUCGCGAUGCGGCUCCGCACUCCCGGGGCGUCUCGUUCUCAUCGCGAGAAGAGGCGCACCUAGAGCGUACACGUUGGGACCCGAAAGAUGGUGAACUAUGCCUGGUCAGGACGAAGUCAGGGGAAACCCUGAUGGAGGUCCGUAGCGAUUCUGACGUGCAAAUCGAUCGUCGGAACUGGGUAUAGGGGCGAAAGACUAAUCGAACCAUCUAGUAGCUGGUUCCCUCCGAAGUUUCCCUCAGGAUAGCUGGCACUCGGCCGUUCCGCACGGAACGCGCGCGAGUCUCAUCUGGUAAAGCGAAUGAUUAGAGGCCUUGGGGCCGAAACGACCUCAACCUAUUCUCAAACUUUAAAUGGGUGAGAUCUCUGGCUUUCUUGAACUAUGAAGCCACGAGCAUCUCGGAUCAGAGUGCCAAGUGGGCCAUUUUUGGUAAGCAGAACUGGCGCUGUGGGAUGAACCAAACGCAGAGUUAAGGCGCCCAACUCGACGCUCAUGGGACACCAUGAAAGGCGUUGGUUGCUUAAGACAGCAGGACGGUGGCCAUGGAAGUCGGAAUCCGCUAAGGAGUGUGUAACAACUCACCUGCCGAAGCAACUAGCCCUGAAAAUGGAUGGCGCUGAAGCGUCGAGCCUAUACUCUGCCGUCAGCGGCAAGUGGGGCGGCCGUGCGCGCCACCAGGCGCGUACGCGCCGCCACGAGGCCCUGACGAGUAGGAGGGUCGCGGCGGUGUGCGCAGAAGGGUCU
Molecule: ribosomal RNA, 1430 nt
Filed under: Tetramorium guangxiense
Lineage: Eukaryota; Metazoa; Arthropoda; Insecta; Hymenoptera; Formicidae
Description: partial 28S ribosomal RNA
Rfam family: Eukaryotic large subunit ribosomal RNA
Source: RNAcentral